This 72-nucleotide transfer RNA is filed under the name Eschrichtius robustus (grey whale). Its description in RNAcentral is "tRNA-Glu". The record is from RNAcentral. Lineage: Eukaryota; Metazoa; Chordata; Mammalia; Artiodactyla; Eschrichtiidae.
UUCCCCGACCGGGGAUCGAACCCGGGCCCCUGCAGUGAACGCGCAGAGUCCUAACCACUGGACCACCAGGGA